AGCCCCCGUCGAGCCCUUGGGCUCCCCGGGCGGUGACACCCCUUACCCUUUGUUUACCUUACCUCUGUUGCUUUGGCAAGGCCCCUGCCCGGGUGGUUCCAGGCUUGGGCUCUGCCAGAGGGCCCCAACUCGUGGAUAGUUUUUGUUUGUCUGAGUACGAUAUAAUCGUUUACAACUUUUAACAAUGGAUCUCUUGGCUCUGGCAUCGAUGAAGAACGCAGCGAAACGCGAUAUGUAAUGUGAAUUGCAGACUUUAGUGAAUCAUCGAAUCUUUGAACGCACAUUGCGCCCCGUGGUAUUCCGCGGGGCAUACCUGUUCGAGCGUCAUUACAACCUCUCCAGCUCCGCUGGGUCUUGGGGCUUGCCUUCCCGGGCAUCCCUUAAAGCUAGAUGCGGCGCCGCGUUGGCUCCAAGCGUAGUACUCUUCUCGCUUCUGGGUCCGUCGUGAUGUCUGCUACCGAACCCCAACUUCCUAUGGUUGACCUCGAAUCAGG
RNAcentral lists this ribosomal RNA (494 nucleotides) under Neobulgaria sp. 6743-R2. RNAcentral's name for it is "eukaryotic LSU rRNA". The stretch from base 174 to 327 matches the Rfam family "5.8S ribosomal RNA". The record is from RNAcentral. Lineage: Eukaryota; Fungi; Ascomycota; Leotiomycetes; Helotiales; Gelatinodiscaceae.